UUUAAUUCCAUAUGAGCUCAUGUAUACUGUUAGUUUUAAUAAAUAGAAAGGCAUGAAUGCUACGAAACAGUAUUACAAGAUACACUCUUAUAUAUUCAUCCCAGCAGCAAGAGAUUUGGGGGGAAUCUGAGAUUCUUGUUUGUGAAACUGAAAAUAUUUUUACUGUUGCCCGCUGACAAUCUCUUACGGGAGUCACAAAGAGAACGCUUGCGUAAUGUCUCCUACAAUGAGAUAUAAAUAAAGAAAUUUUUACGUUAUUGAAAAUAAAAGAAAGAAAAGAAGACCUCGAACCCCUCGUUAGAAAAAAAAAUACAAAUCAGGCGAUAUGUUUUAACGAAAUAUCCUGUUUCCUAUAUUUUCUGACAUUCGAUGCAAGGAGAGAAAGAUU
Long non-coding RNA from Octopus bimaculoides (California two-spot octopus), 388 nucleotides. RefSeq lists it as uncharacterized. NCBI's taxonomy places the organism in Eukaryota, Metazoa, Mollusca, Cephalopoda, Octopoda, Octopodidae. The record is from RefSeq and is a predicted model, not a curated record.